Molecule: ribosomal RNA, 205 nt
Filed under: uncultured bacterium
Lineage: Bacteria
Description: partial 16S ribosomal RNA
Rfam family: Bacterial small subunit ribosomal RNA
Source: RNAcentral
AGCGCAGGCGGUUUGAUAAGUCUGAAGUUAAAGGCUGUGGCUCAACCAUAGUUCGCUUUGGAAACUGUCAAACUUGAGUGCAGAAGGGGAGAGUGGAAUUCCAUGUGUAGCAGUGAAAUGCGUAGAUAUAUGGAGGAACACCGGUGGCGAAGGCGGCCUACUGGGCACCAACUGACGCUGAGGCUGAAAGUGUGGGUAGCAAACA